CGGAACGUAGCCAAGUGGCAUGGCGCCCGCUUUGGGAGCGGGAGAGCGCAGGUUCGAUCCCUGCCGUUCCGA
Molecule: transfer RNA, 72 nt
Filed under: Streptomyces sp. ISL-12
Lineage: Bacteria; Bacillati; Actinomycetota; Actinomycetes; Kitasatosporales; Streptomycetaceae
Also listed under: 1 other name
Rfam family: tRNA
About the family: Transfer RNA (tRNA) molecules are approximately 80 nucleotides in length. Their secondary structure includes four short double-helical elements and three loops (D, anti-codon, and T loops).
Source: Rfam by way of RNAcentral